This 450-nucleotide ribosomal RNA is filed under the name uncultured bacterium. RNAcentral describes it as "partial 16S ribosomal RNA". It matches the Rfam family "Bacterial small subunit ribosomal RNA", at positions 338 to 795 of the family's 1533-position model. The record is from RNAcentral.
CCUACGGGGGGCUGCAGUAGGGAAUAUUGGGCAAUGGACGCAAGUCUGACCCAGCCACGCCGCGUGAAGGAUGACUGCCCUAUGGGUUGUAAACUUCUUUUGUAUGGGAAGAAACCUCCGAACGUGUUCGGAGCUGACGGUACCAUAAGAAUAAGAAUCGGCUAACCCCGUGCCAGCAGCCGCGGUAAUACGGAGGAUGCAAGCGUCGUCCGGAUUAAAGGGGGUGAAGGGGUGGGAAUAAGUCAGUGGUGAAAGCUCGCAGCUUAACUGUGAAAAUGCCAUUGAAACUGGUUUUCUUGAGUUCGAUUGAGGUAGAUGGAAUGUAUCAUGUAGCGGUGAAAUGCUUAGAUAUGAUACAGAACACCAAUUGCGAAGGCAGUCUACUAAGUCGAUACUGACGCUGAGGCACGAAAGCAUGGGGAGCAAACAGGAUUAGAUACCCGUGUAGUC